GCAGCUAAUAACGAUCGCAAUUCAUUUUGACGGCAAAAAAGCAGAGCUGAGAAUUUUUACUGCAGAAACAUUAGCCAAAGUAAAGGAUCUACGAACGCACUGGCUAGGCCUUUCUCAGCCAUUUUCUAAGUGCCGCAAAAAAGUCUUUGAAACACACUGAGGACAAAUCGGAAGUUGAGACCUUAUGUGAAAGUUGCAGCUACCACAUCCAGUGCUAUCGAAUUUUACGGACAAACGUAAACUCGAGAGAGCGAAAAAAAACCAUUGCUAAUUGUACCAUUAAUCGCCCAGUAGAAGAAAUCGAACACGAAGCAGAUGAAAGGAAUCAAAACCAGCCAGUAAAAGUUGCUCGCUUGAAACGUCAUUCACUUGGAGAAAAAUCGAUCUACUCUACUUAUAAAAGCAUGUCAUCCAACAUAUUACCUGAGGUUUGCUUAACCUGUAAGCGUCCAGGACCCUUAAACAUCACUGAUGCGGUAACAAAAAAGGUAGUCAAAGCAAGAAUUGUCAGGGGCUAAAACUAUUGAUGCUGGUGUCCUAAAACAAGCAGCAGCUUUCGGAAAGAUGAAAGUGUUCUUCUUCAUAUUGAUGGGCAGGAUUGCGUCGCAAUUGAAGCAAAGUAUCACGGACGAUGUUAUUUAGCUUACACUAAAUGUCUAUAUCAAAAACUAAUAACGUUGUUGAGCCAACUUUGUAUGGCAGAGUUUUUGAUAAGUUUUGCGUAGAAGGGAUUUAGAAAAGAAUCAUUCAAAACGGUGAUAUUUUACUGCUCAGCUAUUUGUUAAAAGAGUUUAUCGCUUCUGUGCAUAAAUUAGAAAAUAUUGACGUUCAGUACUGUGCACACUGUUCACUUUAGGGUGUCAAAUCAACACCUUCACUGGUGCUAAUUUGACACCAUAAGGUGGUGUUACAUGAAAAGUGUUGUUUUAACACCGAUAUUAAUGUCGAUUCAGUACAGUCAAAUCUGAUACAACACCACUUUUGGUGUUAAAUUAAAAGUGUUGUUUUAACACCGAUAUUAGUGCUGACUCAGCACCGUCAAAUCUGAUACAACACCACUUUGGAGUUGAUCGUAAACGUGUUGUAGCUGCACCAAUAUGAGUGUUGGGUUUUCUUAUCCAGGGUGCUAAACUAAUAUUAAAUGAGCGAAAUUCGCGUAAGCGUCAUUUACGAAACUAUACAACAAAUACUGGAAAAAUUAAAAAUUACUAUGGCAAAAAAUAGAAUGAGAUUGAAAAUGUAUCAUAUGAGCACGAAGUCAGAGAAGGUCAAUUGUGUAAAUCGUUAAUCACAUUUUACACAAAUUCUUA
Long non-coding RNA from Xenia sp. Carnegie-2017, 1310 nucleotides. RefSeq lists it as uncharacterized. The record is from RefSeq and is a predicted model, not a curated record. Lineage: Eukaryota; Metazoa; Cnidaria; Anthozoa; Malacalcyonacea; Xeniidae. The transcript has 2 exons.